RNAcentral lists this ribosomal RNA (236 nucleotides) under uncultured bacterium. RNAcentral's name for it is "partial small subunit ribosomal RNA". It matches the Rfam family "Bacterial small subunit ribosomal RNA", at positions 26 to 288 of the family's 1533-position model. The record is from RNAcentral.
AGAACGAACGCUGGCGGCAGGCUUAACACAUGCAAGUCGAACGCGUGUAGCAAUACACGAGUGGCGCACGGGUGAGUAACGCGUGGAUAUCUGCCUUUUGGUUCGGAAUAACCCCGGGAAACUGGGGCUAAUACCGGAUAGUUCCUUCGGGAUAAAGAUUUAUCGCCAAAAGAUGAGUCCGCGUACGAUUAGCUAGUUGGUGAGGUAAUGGCUCACCAAGGCGACGAUCGUUAGCU